RNAcentral lists this ribosomal RNA (1263 nucleotides) under Bacillus wiedmannii. RNAcentral's name for it is "bacterial SSU rRNA". It matches the Rfam family "Bacterial small subunit ribosomal RNA", at positions 88 to 1337 of the family's 1533-position model. The record is from RNAcentral. Lineage: Bacteria; Bacillati; Bacillota; Bacilli; Caryophanales; Bacillaceae.
GAAGUUAGCGGCGGACGGGUGAGUAACACGUGGGUAACCUGCCCAUAAGACUGGGAUAACUCCGGGAAACCGGGGCUAAUACCGGAUAACAUUUUGAACUGCAUGGUUCGAAAUUGAAAGGCGGCUUCGGCUGUCACUUAUGGAUGGACCCGCGUCGCAUUAGCUAGUUGGUGAGGUAACGGCUCACCAAGGCAACGAUGCGUAGCCGACCUGAGAGGGUGAUCGGCCACACUGGGACUGAGACACGGCCCAGACUCCUACGGGAGGCAGCAGUAGGGAAUCUUCCGCAAUGGACGAAAGUCUGACGGAGCAACGCCGCGUGAGUGAUGAAGGCUUUCGGGUCGUAAAACUCUGUUGUUAGGGAAGAACAAGUGCUAGUUGAAUAAGCUGGCACCUUGACGGUACCUAACCAGAAAGCCACGGCUAACUACGUGCCAGCAGCCGCGGUAAUACGUAGGUGGCAAGCGUUAUCCGGAAUUAUUGGGCGUAAAGCGCGCGCAGGUGGUUUCUUAAGUCUGAUGUGAAAGCCCACGGCUCAACCGUGGAGGGUCAUUGGAAACUGGGAGACUUGAGUGCAGAAGAGGAAAGUGGAAUUCCAUGUGUAGCGGUGAAAUGCGUAGAGAGAUGCAAGUCGAGCGAUGGAGAAAGAGACUUGCUCUUAUGUAGUUAGCGCUGAGGCGCGGAAGCGUGAGGAGCAAACAGGAUUAGAUACCCUGGUAGUCCACGCCGUAAACGAUGAGUGCUAAGUGUUAGAGGGUUUCCGCCCUUUAGUGCUGAAGUUAACGCAUUAAGCAUUCCGCCUGGGGAGUACGGCCGCAAGGCUGAAACUCAAAGGAAUUGACGGGAAACCGCACAAGCGGUGGAGCAUGUGGGCUAAUACCGGAUAACAUGUUGAACUUUACCAGGUCUUGACAUGGUUCGAAAACCCUAGAGAUACGGCUUCUCCUUCGGGAGCAGAGUGACAGGUGGUGCAUGGCUGUCGUCAACUUAUGUCGUGAGAUGUUGGGUUAAGUCCCGCGUCGAGCGCAACCCUUGAUCUUAGUUGCCAUCAGCCAGUUGGGCACUCUAAGGUGACUGCCGGUGACAAACCGGAGGAAGGUGGGGAUGACGUCAAAUCAUCAUGCCCCUUAUGACCUGGGCUACACACGUGCUACAAUGGACGGUACAAAGAGCUGCAAGACCGCGAGGCGGAGCUGAUCUCAUAAAACCGUUCUCAGUUCGGAUUGUAGGCUGCAACUCGCCUACAUGAAGCUGGAAUCGCUA